This 469-nucleotide long non-coding RNA is filed under the name Oryctolagus cuniculus (rabbit). Its description in RNAcentral is "lncRNA (ENSOCUG00000032929.1)". Lineage: Eukaryota; Metazoa; Chordata; Mammalia; Lagomorpha; Leporidae. The record is from RNAcentral.
CACCCACGUUUUUGACGCUGCCUGGCAGCUUCUGGUGCUGCUGUGCUUACUGGGAGGAAGAGGCGGGUCCUAGAUGGCUGGCGCUUGCGCAGUCGGCCUGGUGGAGAGCAAGACGGUAUUAUCUGCUGGUGGCGGCAUGUUGUUGGCUGCCGGAAUUCUCGGCUGAUGGCAGCGUUUUCGGCAGCUGUACUGGCCCAGAGAGUGCGGGAGUGAAGACAUUUUCAUGGAUAUGAAAUUGGACACAGAGUUGACAGAGAAGUUCAGCUGCUGGGUAAUCUUCCAUUUCUGGGGACUGCUCUGCUUUCUUGUAAAACCCAGCUGUGCCUUCACCCUGGACAGGAGCAACUGACAUUUUCAUGGAUAUGAAACUGGACACCGAGUUGACGCUGAAUUUCAGCUGCUGGGUAAUCUUCCAUUUCUGGAACCUCCUUGGCUUCCUGGUAAAACCCAGCUGUGCCUUCACCCUGGA